RNAcentral lists this transfer RNA (75 nucleotides) under Methanobacteriales archaeon. Its description in RNAcentral is "tRNA-Val". It matches the Rfam family "tRNA". Rfam says of the family: Transfer RNA (tRNA) molecules are approximately 80 nucleotides in length. Their secondary structure includes four short double-helical elements and three loops (D, anti-codon, and T loops). The record is from RNAcentral. Lineage: Archaea; Methanobacteriati; Methanobacteriota; Methanobacteria; Methanobacteriales.
GGGCCGGUGGUCUAGGGGUAGGAUACCUCCUUGACACGGAGGUGGUCGCGAGUUCGAAUCUCGUCCGGCCCACCA